RNAcentral lists this transfer RNA (67 nucleotides) under Anaplecta sp. 4 ZQW-2020. RNAcentral describes it as "tRNA-Ser". The record is from RNAcentral. Lineage: Eukaryota; Metazoa; Arthropoda; Insecta; Blattodea; Anaplectidae.
GAGAAGUAAUGAUCAAGUAUAAGCUGCUAACUUAAUACUAUAGCGGUUAAAUUCCGUUUACAUCUCU